Drosophila pseudoobscura is the source of this 757-nucleotide long non-coding RNA. RefSeq lists it as uncharacterized. The record is from RefSeq and is a predicted model, not a curated record. The transcript has 2 exons. NCBI's taxonomy places the organism in Eukaryota, Metazoa, Arthropoda, Insecta, Diptera, Drosophilidae.
ACAGUUGGCUUCUCGUUUACCGAAAGUACCGUUUGACAGUGCGUUUAAUACGAGUUCUAUUUUCUGAGCCCGACAGCCAGGCGAGUAAGCGAGAUAGCCGCAAUGUCUAUGCACGGGUAGGUGUUUGUGUUUUCUGUCUGCAUGGGUGGAGGCGGGAGCGAGUUAAUUCAUUUUAUGAGUCGCUGAUGUCGGCGUCGCAGUCAAUGGCCUCGCGGCCGAUGGUGAAGCUCGAGGACGACCGCACAACUAACGGCAAAACAAAUGCACUGACACAAAACGAAACGACUAUGAUAAGGAGGGAGAGAAGUGUGGCAGGGGCUAUUGGCGCCUACCUUGGCUAUCCCGUUCGUCCCGCUGCUACUUGCACUUGCACUUCCACUGCUGCUGCGUCGCUGCUGCUGCCUCCUCUGCUGGCGUUCGUGUGUGCUGCACUCACUGCUUCUUCUUCUCUUUCUUCCUUACUUUCGCUCAAUUCGACUGAAAACAUAGAAUUUUUUUUCAAAUCGUUUAAUUGGAUUGAUUCACAGUUUUCUUUGUUUUUUUUUUUACACAAGACUUGUUUUUGGACUGGCGCCCCGCGCUUCACCUCAACCGCAGAGGCACACUCAUGCACAGGCACACAAACACACUCACAUUUUUUGGGCCACACGCAAGCGCAACAUAUUUACGCAAUGGUAUUAACAAUUAUAAUACAUUUCUUCAUUUGUUAAAGCCAUUAAAAUCAUAUGAGUAAUGGUUAAUCAUUCGAUGAACUAAA